This 884-nucleotide ribosomal RNA is filed under the name uncultured bacterium. Its description in RNAcentral is "bacterial SSU rRNA". It matches the Rfam family "Bacterial small subunit ribosomal RNA", at positions 8 to 916 of the family's 1533-position model. The record is from RNAcentral.
AGAGUUUGAUCCUGGCUCAGGAUAAACGCUGGCGGCGUGCCUAACACAUGCAAGUCGAACGCUCGGUGUUUUCGGACACCGGGAGUGGCGGACGGGUGAGUAACACGUGGGAACCUACCCCCUGGUGAGGAAUACCGGCGAGAAAUCGUCGACAACACCGCAUAGGCUUCUUUGCAAGAGGAAGCAAAGCUCCGCAAGGGGCGCCAGAGGAUGGGCCUGCGGUCGAUUAGCUAGUUGGCGGGGUAAAAGCCCCCCAAGGCCACGAUCGAUAGCUGGUCUGAGAGGAUGAUCAGCCACACUGGGAUUGAGAACGGCCCAGACUCCUACGGGAGGCAGCAGUGAGGAAUUUUCGGCAAUGGGCGCAAGCCUGACCGAGCAACGCCGCGUGCAGGAGGAAGGUCUUCGGAUCGUAAACUGCUUUUCUCGGGGAAGACAUCGACGGUACCCGAGGAAUCAGCCCCGGCUUACUACGUGCCAGCAGCCGCGGUAAUACGUAGGGGGCGAGCGUUGUCCGGAGUUACUGGGCGUAAAGCGCCCGCAGGCGGUCGGUCGCGUUUGAGGUGACAGCUCCCGGCUUAACUGGGAGAGCGUCUCAAAAACGGGUCGACUUGAGGACCAGAGAGGGACACGGAAUUCCGGGUGUAGUGGUGAAAUGCGUAGAUAUCCGGAGGAACACCGAAGGCGUAGGCAGUGUCCUGGCUGGCACCUGACGCUCAGGGGCGAAAGCUAGGGGAGCGAACGGGAUUAGAUACCCCGGUAGUCCUAGCCGUAAACGAUGACCACUAGGUGUGCGGGGUAUCGACCCCCUGCGUGCCGUAGCUAACGCACUAAGUGGUCCGCCUGGGGAGUACGGUCGCAAGAUUAAAACUCAAAGGAAUUGACGG